GUGGGGAAUUUUGGACAAUGGGGGAAACCCUGAUCCAGCGACGCCGCGUGAAGGAUGAAGGCCUUCGGGUUGUAAACUUCUUUUGGAGGGGACGAAUAAAUUGACGGUACCCUCAGAAAAAGCCACGGCUAACUACGUGCCAGCAGCCGCGGUAAUACGUAGGUGGCGAGCGUUACUCGGAAUUACUAGGCGUAAAGCGUAUGUAGGCGGUUGUAUAAGUCUAUGGUGAAAUUUCCUGGCUCAACUGGGAAGGGACAUAGAUACUGUAUGGCUUGAGUGUUGGAGGGGGAGACGGAAUUCCUGGUGUAGCGGUGAAAUGCGUAGAUAUCAGGAGGAACACCGAUGGCGAAAGCAGUCUCCUGGCCAAAUACUGACGCUGAGGCGCGAAAGCCAGGGGAGCAAACGGGAUUAGAAACCCUGGUAGUCC
Molecule: ribosomal RNA, 427 nt
Filed under: uncultured bacterium
Lineage: Bacteria
Description: partial 16S ribosomal RNA
Rfam family: Bacterial small subunit ribosomal RNA
Source: RNAcentral